Molecule: long non-coding RNA, 781 nt
Filed under: Chrysemys picta bellii (western painted turtle)
Lineage: Eukaryota; Metazoa; Chordata; Testudines; Emydidae
Description: lncRNA (ENSCPBG00000009204.1)
Source: RNAcentral
ACAACCGAUUUGGAAUGUCUGCCCUGCUUUUUGACAGUCUUCCCUGAGGUUGGCACUCACCAUCAUGAGCCACUCCAGACAGUAUAACAAACAUCUCCCAUCAAAUUCCACUUGUCUGAGUUGUGAGAUGGGAUAUUCAGUCCUGGGCCAGUGACAGGUUUCAUGUCCAAUGUUUUGUCAACUACCAUGACAAAAAAAUGAGUGUUUCAUGCUAUAGGGGAUUCUUGUUAACUAGCCUCAUCAGACAACAAAAGUUUUAAAUCUUAAUAUUAAACAUUAGGGUUUAUAUAUGAGCUGGUAUAGAUGAUUUAUAGUAGUUUCUAAAAGUACUCUCUGUACAAAUACUUGUAUUUUUAUAUUUAUUAUAUUUUUCUAUUUCUCUCAGAUUCGUACAGUUGGAUUCUAAAGAAGCACACAUUCUAAAGAAUACCAAUAGUACAACGGUAAAUUGGCUGGAUUCAAAAACAGAUUAAAUAACCCAAAACCUACAUUAUCAAGGAAAACAGAGUUAAUAGUGAUGAAAAUGUGAUGCCACUUUGAAAAUUCUAACUGAAGUCACUAUGUUCAACAUGCUACAGAUGACUGAGCUGCCAGCAUAAUAGGAAGCAGAAAAAAAAUGUAAAAUCAGGUGAUUUGCUUGCUGGGAGGAGAAGGUGAAGAGCAGGCUUUGCUCACUGGAAUGGCUGUUAGGAUCAGCUCUUCAACAGUUUUAAUUUCAGUUUGGCAAUGCAAAGAUUGUGGUCUCUACUGCUUGAUAUGCUCAUGUGUGCUGGACAGAUGA